Molecule: transfer RNA, 67 nt
Filed under: Scolytinae sp. BMNH 1274282
Lineage: Eukaryota; Metazoa; Arthropoda; Insecta; Coleoptera; Curculionidae
Description: tRNA-Leu
Source: RNAcentral
AUUGUUUUGGCAGAAUAGUGUUUUAGAUUUAGAAUCUUUUUAUAUAGGGAUAUCCCUAUAAACAAUA